RNAcentral lists this ribosomal RNA (383 nucleotides) under uncultured bacterium. Its description in RNAcentral is "bacterial SSU rRNA". It matches the Rfam family "Bacterial small subunit ribosomal RNA", at positions 28 to 403 of the family's 1533-position model. The record is from RNAcentral.
GAUGAACGCUAGCUACAGGCUUAACACAUGCAAGUCGAGGGGCAGCGGGAUUGAAGCUUGCUUCAAUUGCCGGCGACCGGCGCACGGGUGAGUAACGCGUAUCCAACCUUCCGUACACUCAGGGAUAGCCUUUCGAAAGAAAGAUUAAUACCUGAUGGUAUGAUGAGAUUGCAUGAUAGCAUCAUUAAAGAUUUAUCGGUGUACGAUGGGGAUGCGUUCCAUUAGGUAGUAGGCGGGGUAACGGCCCACCUAGCCGACGAUGGAUAGGGGUUCUGAGAGGAAGGUCCCCCACAUUGGAACUGAGACACGGUCCAAACUCCUACGGGAGGCAGCAGUGAGGAAUAUGGUCAAUGGACGAGAGUCUGACCAAGCCAAGUAGCGUG